This is a non-coding RNA of Leptonychotes weddellii (Weddell seal), 524 nucleotides long. NCBI's taxonomy places the organism in Eukaryota, Metazoa, Chordata, Mammalia, Carnivora, Phocidae. The record is from RefSeq and is a predicted model, not a curated record.
GAGCCACCCAGGUGCCCCUUACUCUUAUCUUUUUAAUGAAAUACUAACAAGGAGGGUCCAGUUCUUAAUACUGAGACUCAAGAGGAGGAUGCAUGGGGGAGAGGAACUUGCAGGUACCGUCACGCAGCUGUAAGCAGAUCGGAUCUCGCAGAUUUGCAGUGUCUCACUCGGCUGACUUUCUCAGCCAGCCAGUGUCGGAAGGCUCAGAGGGCCACACCACCAUCAACCACACAGCUGCACCUGCGUUUGCUGUAACUCUUGUCAGCCUUGUCUAGGUCCAGACACCUGCUAGCCGGCACUCCGACAUACGAGAACUUAAUGAAGCAAAGAAAAUUCCCUGAAGUAGGACAACAGUGUCUUGUAUGAAUAUGCAAGAGAAUAAACAACCAUACAAGAAGGCAGAGUUUUGGAGUAUGUGUGUGUGUAAAAGGGUGCUUUUAGGCUGACUCUCAAUCUUUUGACAAAAUCUGCUUCAGAGGGAUGCCUGGGUGGCUCAGUUGUUAAGCAUCUGCCUUCGGCUCAGG